This 254-nucleotide ribosomal RNA is filed under the name uncultured bacterium. RNAcentral describes it as "partial 16S ribosomal RNA". It matches the Rfam family "Bacterial small subunit ribosomal RNA", at positions 524 to 776 of the family's 1533-position model. The record is from RNAcentral.
UACGUAGGGUGCGAGCGUUGUCCGGAAUUAUUGGGCGUAAAGAGCUCGUAGGCGGUCUGUCGCGUCGGUCGUGAAAACUUGGGGCUUAACCCUGAGCUUGCGGUCGAUACGGGCAUGACUGGAGUUCGGCAGGGGAGACUGGAAUUCCUGGUGUAGCGGUGAAAUGCGCAGAUAUCAGGAGGAACACCGAUGGCGAAGGCAGGUCUCUGGGCCGAUACUGACGCUGAGGAGCGAAAGCGUGGGGAGCAAACAGG